UGGGGAAUUUUGCGCAAUGGGGGAAACCCUGACGCAGCAACGCCGCGUGAGUGAUGAAGGCCUUCGGGUCGUAAAGCUCUGUCAAGUGGGAAGAAAAUGCUUGAUGUUAACACCAUCUUGCACUGACGGUACCACUGAAGGAAGCACCGGCUAACUCCGUG
Molecule: ribosomal RNA, 161 nt
Filed under: uncultured bacterium
Lineage: Bacteria
Description: partial 16S ribosomal RNA
Rfam family: Bacterial small subunit ribosomal RNA
Source: RNAcentral